This 439-nucleotide ribosomal RNA is filed under the name Streptomyces sp. B451. RNAcentral's name for it is "bacterial SSU rRNA". It matches the Rfam family "Bacterial small subunit ribosomal RNA", at positions 922 to 1353 of the family's 1533-position model. Lineage: Bacteria; Bacillati; Actinomycetota; Actinomycetes; Kitasatosporales; Streptomycetaceae. The record is from RNAcentral.
CGCACAAGCGGCGGAGCAUGUGGCUUAAUUCGACGCAACGCGAAGAACCUUACCAAGGCUUGACAUACGCCGGAAAACCAUGGAGACAUGGUCCCUCUUUGAGUCGGUGUACAGGUGGUGCAUGGCUGUCGUCAGCUCGUGUCGUGAGAUGUUGGGUUAAGUCCCGCAACGAGCGCAACCCUUAUCCUGUGUUGCCAGCAACUCUCUUCGGAGGGGUUGGGGACUCACGGGAGACUGCCGGGGUCAACUCGGAGGAAGGUGGGGACGACGUCAAGUCAUCAUGCCCCUUAUGUCUUGGGCUGCACACGUGCUACAAUGGCUGGUACAAUGAGCUGCGAUGCCGUGAGGUGGAGCGAAUCUCAAAAAGCCAGUCUCAGUUCGGAUUGGGGUCUGCAACUCGACCCCAUGAAGUCGGAGUCGGUAGUAAUCGCAGAUCAGC